UACGUAGGGGGCAAGCGUUGUCCGGAUUUAUUGGGCGUAAAGAGCGUGUAGGCGGCCUGACAGGUCUGCUGUGAAAACUCGAGGCUCAACCUCGAGAUGUCGGCGGAAACCGUCUGGCUAGAGUCCGGAAGAGGAGAGUGGAAUUCCCGGUGUAGCGGUGAAAUGCGUAGAGAUCGGGAGGAAUACCGGUGGCGAAAGCGACUCUCUGGACGGCAACUGACGCUGAGGCACGAAAGCGUGGGGAGCAAACGGG
This 253-nucleotide ribosomal RNA is filed under the name uncultured bacterium. Its description in RNAcentral is "partial 16S ribosomal RNA". It matches the Rfam family "Bacterial small subunit ribosomal RNA", at positions 524 to 776 of the family's 1533-position model. The record is from RNAcentral.